This 490-nucleotide ribosomal RNA is filed under the name uncultured bacterium. Its description in RNAcentral is "partial 16S ribosomal RNA". It matches the Rfam family "Bacterial small subunit ribosomal RNA", at positions 29 to 507 of the family's 1533-position model. The record is from RNAcentral.
AGUGAACGCUGGCGGCAGGCCUAAUACAUGCAAGUCGAACGGCAGCACAGUAAGAGUUUCCCCUUACGUGGCGCGUGUCGCGGGGGUGAGAGAUAUAUAUCAGUCUCCCCAGUUUUGGGGGGGAUCAUGGGGGAACUUACACUCUUAUCCCGCACACGCUCCGCGGGUGAGACGAGGAGCUCCUCGCCUCUCGCGCGUUGGUAAGCGCAUGUUGGAUUAGCUAGUUGGCGGGGUAAAGGCCCACCAAGGCGACGAUCUGUAGCUGGUCUGAGAGGAUGAUCAGCCACACUGGGACUGAGACACGGUCCAGACUCCUACGGGAGGCAGCAGUAGGGAAUAUUGGACAAUGGGCGCAAGCCUGAUCCAGCCAUGCCGCGUGAGUGAAGAAGGCCUUCGGGUUGUAAAGCCCUUUUGUCGGGGAAGAAAAGCAGCAGGCUAAUACCUCGGUGUUCUGACGGUACCGGAAGAAUAAGCACCGGCUAACUUCGUG